RNAcentral lists this ribosomal RNA (426 nucleotides) under uncultured bacterium. Its description in RNAcentral is "partial 16S ribosomal RNA". It matches the Rfam family "Bacterial small subunit ribosomal RNA", at positions 354 to 796 of the family's 1533-position model. The record is from RNAcentral.
GUGAGGAAUCUUGCACAAUGGGCGAAAGCCUGAUGCAGCGACGCCGCGUGAGGGACGAAGGCCUUCGGGUUGUAAACCUCUGUCAGUAGGGAAGAAGAUUGACGGUACCUACUGAGGAAGCUUCGGCUAACUACGUGCCAGCAGCCGCGGUAAUACGUAGGAAGCAAGCGUUGCCCGGAAUUACUGGGCGUAAAGAGCUCGUAGGCGGGGGCGUGCGUCCGGGAAGAAAUCUCAAGGCUCAACCUUGGGGCUAUCUCGGAUACGGCGCUUCUUGAGGGUGAGAGAGGAAAGUAGAAUUCCCGGUGUAGCGGUGAAAUGCGUAGAUAUCGGGAGGAAUACCAGCGGCGAAGGCGACUUUCUGGCUCAUUCCUGACGCUGAGGAGCGAAAGCGUGGGUAGCGAACGGGAUUAGAAACCCCGGUAGUCC